Molecule: ribosomal RNA, 2739 nt
Filed under: Staphylococcus aureus M79671
Lineage: Bacteria; Bacillati; Bacillota; Bacilli; Caryophanales; Staphylococcaceae
Description: bacterial LSU rRNA
Rfam family: Bacterial large subunit ribosomal RNA
Source: RNAcentral
ACCCGGAGAACUGAAACAUCUUAGUACCCGGAGGAAGAGAAAGAAAAUUCGAUUCCCUUAGUAGCGGCGAGCGAAACGGGAAGAGCCCAAACCAAAAAGCUUGCUUGUUGGGGUUGUAGGACACUCUGUACGGAGUUACAAAGGACGACAUUAGACGAAUCAUCUGGAAAGAUGAAUCAAAGAAGGUAAUAAUCCUGUAGUCGAAAAUGUUGUCUCUCUUGAGUGGAUCCUGAGUACGACGGAGCACGUGAAAUUCCGUCGGAAUCUGGGAGGACCAUCUCCUAAGGCUAAAUACUCUCUAGUGACCGAUAGUGAACCAGUACCGUGAGGGAAAGGUGAAAAGCACCCCGGAAGGGGAGUGAAAUAGAACCUGAAACCGUGUGCUUACAAGUAGUCAGAGCCCGUUAAUGGGUGAUGGCGUGCCUUUUGUAGAAUGAACCGGCGAGUUACGAUUUGAUGCAAGGUUAAGCAGUAAAUGUGGAGCCGUAGCGAAAGCGAGUCUGAAUAGGGCGUUUAGUAUUUGGUCGUAGACCCGAAACCAGGUGAUCUACCCUUGGUCAGGUUGAAGUUCAGGUAACACUGAAUGGAGGACCGAACCGACUUACGUUGAAAAGUGAGCGGAUGAACUGAGGGUAGCGGAGAAAUUCCAAUCGAACCUGGAGAUAGCUGGUUCUCUCCGAAAUAGCUUUAGGGCUAGCCUCAAGUGAUGAUUAUUGGAGGUAGAGCACUGUUUGGACGAGGGGCCCCUCUCGGGUUACCGAAUUCAGACAAACUCCGAAUGCCAAUUAAUUUAACUUGGGAGUCAGAACAUGGGUGAUAAGGUCCGUGUUCGAAAGGGAAACAGCCCAGACCACCAGCUAAGGUCCCAAAAUAUAUGUUAAGUGGAAAAGGAUGUGGCGUUGCCCAGACAACUAGGAUGUUGGCUUAGAAGCAGCCAUCAUUUAAAGAGUGCGUAAUAGCUCACUAGUCGAGUGACACUGCGCCGAAAAUGUACCGGGGCUAAACAUAUUACCGAAGCUGUGGAUUGUCCUUUGGACAAUGGUAGGAGAGCGUUCUAAGGGCGUUGAAGCAUGAUCGUAAGGACAUGUGGAGCGCUUAGAAGUGAGAAUGCCGGUGUGAGUAGCGAAAGACGGGUGAGAAUCCCGUCCACCGAUUGACUAAGGUUUCCAGAGGAAGGCUCGUCCGCUCUGGGUUAGUCGGGUCCUAAGCUGAGGCCGACAGGCGUAGGCGAUGGAUAACAGGUUGAUAUUCCUGUACCACCUAUAAUCGUUUUAAUCGAUGGGGGGACGCAGUAGGAUAGGCGAAGCGUGCGAUUGGAUUGCACGUCUAAGCAGUAAGGCUGAGUAUUAGGCAAAUCCGGUACUCGUUAAGGCUGAGCUGUGAUGGGGAGAAGACAUUGUGUCUUCGAGUCGUUGAUUUCACACUGCCGAGAAAAGCCUCUAGAUAGAAAAUAGGUGCCCGUACCGCAAACCGACACAGGUAGUCAAGAUGAGAAUUCUAAGGUGAGCGAGCGAACUCUCGUUAAGGAACUCGGCAAAAUGACCCCGUAACUUCGGGAGAAGGGGUGCUCUUUAGGGUUAACGCCCAGAAGAGCCGCAGUGAAUAGGCCCAAGCGACUGUUUAUCAAAAACACAGGUCUCUGCUAAACCGUAAGGUGAUGUAUAGGGGCUGACGCCUGCCCGGUGCUGGAAGGUUAAGAGGAGUGGUUAGCUUCUGCGAAGCUACGAAUCGAAGCCCCAGUAAACGGCGGCCGUAACUAUAACGGUCCUAAGGUAGCGAAAUUCCUUGUCGGGUAAGUUCCGACCCGCACGAAAGGCGUAACGAUUUGGGCACUGUCUCAACGAGAGACUCGGUGAAAUCAUAGUACCUGUGAAGAUGCAGGUUACCCGCGACAGGACGGAAAGACCCCGUGGAGCUUUACUGUAGCCUGAUAUUGAAAUUCGGCACAGCUUGUACAGGAUAGGUAGGAGCCUUUGAAACGUGAGCGCUAGCUUACGUGGAGGCGCUGGUGGGAUACUACCCUAGCUGUGUUGGCUUUCUAACCCGCACCACUUAUCGUGGUGGGAGACAGUGUCAGGCGGGCAGUUUGACUGGGGCGGUCGCCUCCUAAAAGGUAACGGAGGCGCUCAAAGGUUCCCUCAGAAUGGUUGGAAAUCAUUCAUAGAGUGUAAAGGCAUAAGGGAGCUUGACUGCGAGACCUACAAGUCGAGCAGGGUCGAAAGACGGACUUAGUGAUCCGGUGGUUCCGCAUGGAAGGGCCAUCGCUCAACGGAUAAAAGCUACCCCGGGGAUAACAGGCUUAUCUCCCCCAAGAGUUCACAUCGACGGGGAGGUUUGGCACCUCGAUGUCGGCUCAUCGCAUCCUGGGGCUGUAGUCGGUCCCAAGGGUUGGGCUGUUCGCCCAUUAAAGCGGUACGCGAGCUGGGUUCAGAACGUCGUGAGACAGUUCGGUCCCUAUCCGUCGUGGGCGUAGGAAAUUUGAGAGGAGCUGUCCUUAGUACGAGAGGACCGGGAUGGACAUACCUCUGGUGUACCAGUUGUCGUGCCAACGGCAUAGCUGGGUAGCUAUGUGUGGACGGGAUAAGUGCUGAAAGCAUCUAAGCAUGAAGCCCCCCUCAAGAUGAGAUUUCCCAACUUCGGUUAUAAGAUCCCUCAAAGAUGAUGAGGUUAAUAGGUUCGAGGUGGAAGCAUGGUGACAUGUGGAGCUGACGAAUACUAAUCGAUCGAAGACUUAAUCAA